UUCGGCGGGUCACCCUGUGGUGACCUCUCGAGACAGCCCAGGGGAGGGGCAAGAGGGAACCCGGUGAGACCCCGGGACUGCCCCGCAGCGGUAUUCGGGAACGACCGCCGUCACACAGCACUGGGUGCAGCCAGCACCCGGGAAGCGACGGCCAGUAGGCACCCGUCCGGCACCUGCCGGACGCCUCGGUGACGAGGACGCCCGUGAGUCCGAAGACCUGCCAGCGCCCGUCCGCGACC
RNAcentral lists this non-coding RNA (239 nucleotides) under Kytococcus sedentarius. Lineage: Bacteria; Bacillati; Actinomycetota; Actinomycetes; Micrococcales; Kytococcaceae. The record is from RNAcentral.